Molecule: ribosomal RNA, 504 nt
Filed under: uncultured soil bacterium
Lineage: Bacteria
Description: bacterial SSU rRNA
Rfam family: Bacterial small subunit ribosomal RNA
Source: RNAcentral
AGAGUUUGAUCCUGGCUCAGAGCGAACGCUGGCGGCGUGGAUUAGGCAUGCAUGUCGAGCGAGAACGGGGAGCAAUCCCUUAGUAAAGCGGCACACGGGUCAGUAAUGCGUGGAUAACUUGCCCUUGAGACUGGGAUAACGGCGGGAAACUGCCGCUAAUACCGGAUGGCCUCGCGGACCGGCAUCGGACUGCGAGUAAAGGUGGGGACCGAAAGGCCUGCCGCUCGAGGAGAGGUUCACGACCUAUCAGCUAGUUGGCGAGGUAACGGCUCACCAAGGCGACGACGGGUAGGCGGGCUGAGAGGCUGACCGCCGACACUGGGACUGAGAACUGCCCAGACUCCUACGGGAGGCUGCAGUCGAGAAUCUUCCACAAUGGACGCAAGUCUGAUGGAGCGACGCCGCGUGUGGGAUGAAGGUCUUUGGAUUGUAAACCACUGUCACGCGUUAUGAAUGCGCGGCAGCUAACACCUGCCGCGUGACAAAGCGCGAGAGAAGCCACCU